UGAGUGAACCAUGCGGUCGCUGAUUUCGAUUUGUCGAAGUCAGAGGAAAGUCCGAACACCGCAGGGCAUGGCGCUGGGUAACGCCCAGGUACCGUGAGGUAACGGAAAGUGCAACAGAAAAUAUACCGCCAUUUUUAAUGGUAAGGGUGAAAAGGGGGUGUAAGAGACCACCGCGCAGUGUGGCGACACAUUGCGGCACUGUAAACCCCGCCAGGUGCAAGACCAUGUAGGGAAGCUUUUGAAGUCUGCCCGGCUGAUGCUUCCGGGUGGGUCGCAUGAGGCAGUCAGUAAUGGCUGUCCCAGAUGAAUGACCGCACUAGACAGAAUUCGGCUUACAGGUUCACUCACUAA
Molecule: RNase P RNA, 351 nt
Filed under: Candidatus Dadabacteria bacterium
Lineage: Bacteria; Pseudomonadati; Thermodesulfobacteriota; Candidatus Dadabacteria
Description: RNase P RNA component class A
Rfam family: Bacterial RNase P class A
About the family: Ribonuclease P (RNase P) is a ubiquitous endoribonuclease, found in archaea, bacteria and eukarya as well as chloroplasts and mitochondria. Its best characterised activity is the generation of mature 5'-ends of tRNAs by cleaving the 5'-leader elements of precursor-tRNAs.
Source: RNAcentral